RNAcentral lists this ribosomal RNA (111 nucleotides) under Tetracentron sinense. The record is from RNAcentral. Lineage: Eukaryota; Viridiplantae; Streptophyta; Magnoliopsida; Trochodendrales; Trochodendraceae.
GUGAUCACGCAUUCCUACACUAGAUCCUAUCAGAACUCCGCUGUUAAGUGUGCUUGUGCGAGAAUAGUACUAGGAUGGGUUACCUCCUGGGAAGUCCUUGUGUUACACUCC